UACGGAGGGUGCGAGCGUUGUCCGGAAUCAUUGGGCGUAAAGGGCGCGUAGGUGGCCACUUCAAGCGUGCGGUGAAAGUCGGGGGCUCAAACCCCUGAUCGGCCGUGCGAACUGGGGGGCUGGAGCACUGUAGAGGCAGGCGGAAUUCCGGGUGAUGAGCGGUGGAAUGACGUAGAGAGUCCGGAAGAACACCGGUGGCGAAGGCGGCCUGCUGGGCAGUUUGCUGACACUGAGGCGCGACAGCGUGGGGAGCAAACAGG
RNAcentral lists this ribosomal RNA (260 nucleotides) under uncultured bacterium. RNAcentral describes it as "partial 16S ribosomal RNA". It matches the Rfam family "Bacterial small subunit ribosomal RNA", at positions 524 to 776 of the family's 1533-position model. The record is from RNAcentral.